This 401-nucleotide ribosomal RNA is filed under the name uncultured bacterium. RNAcentral describes it as "bacterial SSU rRNA". It matches the Rfam family "Bacterial small subunit ribosomal RNA", at positions 355 to 782 of the family's 1533-position model. The record is from RNAcentral.
UGGGGAAUAUUGCACAAUGGGCGCAAGCCUGAUGCAGCAACGCCGCGUGGGGGAUGAAGGCCUUCGGGUUGUAAACCCCUUACUGCAGGGAAGCGGUACCUGCAGAAGAAGCGUCGGCUAACUACGUGCCAGCAGCCGCGGUAAUACGUAGGACGCAAGCGUUGUCCGGAAUUAUUGGGCGUAAAGAGCUCGUAGGCGGUUCGUCACGUCUGCUGUGAAAACCCGAGGCUCAACCUCGGGCCUGCAGUGGGUACGGCGGACUAGAGUGUGGUAGGGGAGACUGGAAUUCCUGGUGUAGCGGUGGAAUGCGCAGAUAUCAGGAGGAACACCAAUGGCAAAGGCAGGUCUCUGGGCCACAACUGACGCUGAGGAGCGAAAGGUGGGGAGCGAACAGGAUUAGA